UAAUAUUUUGUAAAACUGAUUUAGUUUUUUGUCAUCUUUUAAGAUGGCAAAAAACUAAAUCAGUUUUACAAAAUAUUA
Molecule: non-coding RNA, 78 nt
Organism: Paramuricea clavata
Lineage: Eukaryota; Metazoa; Cnidaria; Anthozoa; Malacalcyonacea; Plexauridae
Source: the annotation of a GenBank genome assembly